CUAUGUUUUUUCUUCACCUCUGUUUAUUCUCGCCUCUUCUCUGGUCUCUUCUCCUCUGAAAUUUCUCUUAAAAGCUAAAGAUUGAGAGGUUUUUAAUGAUGAAUUUCAGAGGGAUAUGGACAUGAAAACAUGGAAACAAAAUAUCUCUUAACACAGCUAUUGAAAUAGAAUAUAAUAUGUAAAGAGGUUAAAAAUGACGAAAGGGUUAGUUCUGUUUCCAGACUAAAGAGGGUUAGUUCUAACUCCUUAACACUCAGUGAAAGAGUUGAUCAAACAAUAGCUAGUAUAAUACGUAAGGGGUUUUAUAACGAUAGUGGAGUCGAUUAUAUGUGUUAGGGGUUGGUUAUUUCUUUUCCAACGCCAUUUAUGCGCAAAAAGCUCAGGUUAGCAACAGACCUUGCAUGAUCAUUGGAUCAACACGAAAGAGAUCCUACGGUUUCAAGUCUCAACUAAGUGUUUGUUAAACCUUGUGCACAGCUGAUGACUGCAACAAAAAAAAAUUAAC
Molecule: long non-coding RNA, 505 nt
Filed under: Brassica napus (rape)
Lineage: Eukaryota; Viridiplantae; Streptophyta; Magnoliopsida; Brassicales; Brassicaceae
Description: long non-coding RNA (BNAP_LNC000630)
Source: RNAcentral